CCUAUGCUGCCGAGAAAAGCAUCGACGCGAGGUUUUAGCGGCCCGUACCCCAAACCGACUCAGGUGGUCAGGUAGAGAAUACUAAGGAGAUCGAGAGAAUCAUGGUGAAGGAACUCGGCAAAAUGCCCCCGUAACUUCGGGAGAAGGGGGGCCAUCCACUUAUUAGGACUUGCUCCGAAAGGGUGUGGUGGCCGCAGAGACCAGUGGGAAGCGACUGUUUACUAAAAACACAGGUCCGUGCGAACAUGCAAAUGGAUGUAUACGGACUGACGCCUCCCCGGUGCUGGAAGGUUAAGAGGAGAGGUUAGAUUUCGGUCGAAGCUUUGAAUUUAAGCCCCAGUAAACGGCGGUGGUAACAAUAACCAUCCUAAGGUAGCGAAAUUCCUUGUCGGGUAAGUUCCGACCUGCACGAAUGGCGUAACGACUUCCCAGCUGUCUCCACCAUGAACUCGGCGAAAUUGCAGUACGAGUAAAGAUGCUCGUUACGCGCAGAAGGACGGAAAGACCCCGUGACCUUUACUACAGCUUGGUAUUGGUGUUCGGUGUGGCUUGUGUAGGAUAGGUGGGAGACUGUGAAGCUCGGACGCUAGUUCGGGUGGAGUCGUUGUUGAAAUACCACUCUGGUCAUACUGGAUGUCUAACUACGGACCCUGAUCGGGUUCUGGGACAGUGCCUGGUGGGUAGUUUAACUGGGGCGGUUGCCUCCCAAAAAGUAACGGAGGCGCCCAAAGGUUCCCUCAACCUGGUUGGCAAUCAGGUGGCGAGUGUAAGUGCACAAGGGAGCUUGACUGUGAGACUGACAGGUCGAGCAGGGACGAAAGUCGGGACUAGUGAUCCGGCAGUGGCUUGUGGAAGCGCUGUCGCUCAACGGAUAAAAGGUACCUCGGGGAUAACAGGCUGAUCUUGCCCAAGAGUCCAUAUCGACGGCAUGGUUUGGCACCUCGAUGUCGGCUCGUCGCAUCCUGGGGCUGGAGUAGGUCCCAAGGGUUGGGCUGUUCGCCCAUUAAAGCGGUACGCGAGCUGGGUUUAGAACGUCGUGAGACAGUUCGGUCCCUAUCCUCUGCGCGCGUUGGAGAUUUGAGAGGAUCUGACCCUAGUACGAGAGGACCGGGUUGGACGGACCUCUGGUGUGCCAGUUGUUCUGCCAAGGGCAUGGCUGGUUGGCUACGCUCGGGAUGGAUAACCGCUGAAAGCAUCUAAGCGGGAAGCCGGCCUCAAGAUGAGAUCUCCAUGGGUACUUGUGCCCGCGAGGCUCCCGGGAGAUGACCGGGUUGAUAGGCCAGAUGUGGAAGCACUGUAAGGUGUGGAGCUGACUGGUACUAAUAUGCCGAUGACUUG
RNAcentral lists this ribosomal RNA (1338 nucleotides) under metagenome. Its description in RNAcentral is "bacterial LSU rRNA". It matches the Rfam family "Bacterial large subunit ribosomal RNA", at positions 1599 to 2925 of the family's 2925-position model. The record is from RNAcentral.